This 251-nucleotide unclassified non-coding RNA is filed under the name Hevea brasiliensis (rubber tree). Lineage: Eukaryota; Viridiplantae; Streptophyta; Magnoliopsida; Malpighiales; Euphorbiaceae. The record is from RNAcentral.
AACCAGAGCUAAACACUAGCACCCAAGACAGCGGUAUGUGGAAGCAUAUGGUAAUGCAAGAGCUUAUGAGCAUUGGAACAAUCAUACUUUGCAUUAGAAAGUACCGAAUAAGUGGUUGAAGAUUUGCGUAAGCAAAGAGAGCAGGAAUCAUCCACUUAAUGAACUUGCCGGCUUCAUGAGAAAUCUGAGGAUCUUGCCCUAUGAAAGUAAGCAAUUUCCCCACAUAUAGCCAUAAAACUGCAAUGGGAAUG